GCGGAUGAGGGAGCUUGCUCCUGGAUUCAGCGGCGGACGGGUGAGUAAUGCCUAGGAAUCUGCCUGGUAGUGGGGGAUAACGUCCGGAAACGGGCGCUAAUACCGCAUACGUCCUGAGGGAGAAAGUGGGGGAUCUUCGGACCUCACGCUAUCAGAUGAGCCUAGGUCGGAUUAGCUAGUUGGUGGGGUAAAGGCCUACCAAGGCGACGAUCCGUAACUGGUCUGAGAGGAUGAUCAGUCACACUGGAACUGAGACACGGUCCAGACUCCUACGGGAGGCAGCAGUGGGGAAUAUUGGACAAUGGGCGAAAGCCUGAUCCAGCCAUGCCGCGUGUGUGAAGAAGGUCUUCGGAUUGUAAAGCACUUUAAGUUGGGAGGAAGGGCAGUAAGUUAAUACCUUGCUGUUUUGACGUUACCAACAGAAUAAGCACCGGCUAACUUCGUGCCAGCAGCCGCGGUAAUACGAAGGGUGCAAGCGUUAAUCGGAAUUACUGGGCGUAAAGCGCGCGUAGGUGGUUCAGCAAGUUGGAUGUGAAAUCCCCGGGCUCAACCUGGGAACUGCAUCCAAAACUACUGAGCUAGAGUACGGUAGAGGGUGGUGGAAUUUCCUGUGUAGCGGUGAAAUGCGUAUAUAUAGGAAGGAACACCAGUGGCGAAGGCGACCCCCUGGACUGAUACUGACACUGAGGUGCGAAAGCGUGGGGAGCAUACAGGAAUGGAUACCCUGUGAGUCCACGCCGUCCACGAUAUCUACUAGCCGUUGGGAUCCUUGA
Molecule: ribosomal RNA, 773 nt
Filed under: Pseudomonas aeruginosa
Lineage: Bacteria; Pseudomonadati; Pseudomonadota; Gammaproteobacteria; Pseudomonadales; Pseudomonadaceae
Description: bacterial SSU rRNA
Rfam family: Bacterial small subunit ribosomal RNA
Source: RNAcentral